Molecule: microRNA precursor, 123 nt
Filed under: Gossypium hirsutum (cotton)
Lineage: Eukaryota; Viridiplantae; Streptophyta; Magnoliopsida; Malvales; Malvaceae
Description: MIR7504 microRNA precursor family
Rfam family: MIR7504 microRNA precursor family
Source: Rfam by way of RNAcentral
AACGGGAGUAUGACAAAUCAGAUUUUUUUUCUUGAUUUUCAACUUUUUCCUCUUGGAAAAAUUCAAAUCAAAUUAAAAACACUAAAAAUUAAGAGAAAAAAUUUGAUUUGUCAUUCUCCUAUU